CCUACGGGCGGCAGCAGUGAGGAAUAUUGGUCAAUGGACGAGAGUCUGAACCAGCCAAGUAGCGUGAAGGAUGACUGCCCUAUGGGUUGUAAACUUCUUUUAUAUGGGAAUAAAAUGUUCCACGUGUGGGCUUUUGUAUGUACCAUAUGAAUAAGGAUCGGCUAACUCCGUGCCAGCAGCCGCGGUAAUACGGAGGAUCCGAGCGUUAUCCGGAUUUAUUGGGUUUAAAGGGAGCGUAGGUGGAUUGUUAAGUCAGUUGUGAAAGUUUGCGGCUCAACCGUAAAAUUGCAAUUGAUACUGGCAGUCUUGAGUACAGUUGAGGUAAGCGGAAUUCGUGGUGUAGCGGUGAAAUGCUUAGAUAUCACGAAGAACCCCGAUUGCGAAGGCAGCUUACUAAACUGUGACUGACAUUGAUGCUCGAAAGUGUGGGUAUCAAACAGGAUUAGAUACCCGAGUAGUC
RNAcentral lists this ribosomal RNA (460 nucleotides) under uncultured bacterium. RNAcentral's name for it is "partial 16S ribosomal RNA". It matches the Rfam family "Bacterial small subunit ribosomal RNA", at positions 338 to 795 of the family's 1533-position model. The record is from RNAcentral.